UUGAAAAUCAAAUUCAAAUAAAAAUAGAAAUAAAAAACAUAUGUCGGAAUGAAUUGGAAAUUGCAAAGAACUUAUGUCGUCUACAUGUUUGUAAUCCAAAAUUAAAUCCACCAAAUUCAAACAACAUGAAAAAUCCAUCAAUCAUUGCAAUUGUUUUAAUCACAAUACAUGUAGUAAUGAAUGAUUAUGGAUAUAAAACUUGUGACAACUACAAAUACCAAACAAUUCACAAGGAUAAAAUAUACCAAAUUACUAAACCCCUACUGCUUAGAAGACAGAAUAAUAACAAAAAAAAAGAACAUAAUAAGAAGAAAUUGGGUACCUGUUUUACAAACAGAGAAGAAGACGAGGCAAAAAACUGAUCAAUCAGGUAGAAUGAGGGAAGAUAUCCUUUUAUUAUUAGGCUAAAGGGUAUUUUGGUCAUAAUCUAACCUUUAAUCUUCCAGGCGUUUUCUUUCUCUUCGAUUCCGCCCCAUUUUGGGAGGAAAGUUUGGAACGGUACAAAUCCUCCCAAAUAUGUUCUCUUCAUCUCUUCUCUUCAAAAAAAAAAAAAAACUCUGGAGCACCCAAACUUCUCUUCUUUCCUUCCAAAUCCUUUCACUCCCGUCUCUUCUUUCAUUAAGUGAUACUCAGGAGCAGGGUGUUUGCCACCGAUCGCUCCCCUGCUAUGCCUUCUUCGCCACCGACCUCUACUGUGUCAUCCACCACCACCACCACCAUCCCCACACUCCAUCAUGUCCCCACGCCCCCACCACGCAUCAGACAACAUCGCAACCAGUACACUACCAUCGCUCAACGACCAUACAACACUACCCUCUUUAUCUCUCUAAGAAACCCUAGAUUGUUAUCGCUGCUACACCCCCACUCUCUAUCUCUCCUUUAUGUCCUAUAUUAAAAGCCACCGCUGUCACCUACUUCUCAUCCCUAUCUGUCUCUCUCUAAUAAAACAACUCACCAUCACCAUCGUUAUUGUCCCUUGCCCUUCUCCCCCUACUGCAAGCACUAGAUCUAAACCACCAGUCGCCACCAUUAAUAACCAAACUCCCUAUUUCUUCUUCUUUCUCACUUAAAGAUAUUGAUUGCAACAUAGCUACAAAUUUGAAACCUUGCAACAUGCAUCAUCUACCUGAAAGGCUAUUCAUUACAGACGAGGAAUGCCAGCUGACAGUUCUAUUGGAGAAUUGAGUGUCAAGCAACAACAACAUGAUUGUUAUGAAAUCCUACCUGAUGGCCCAUGAAGUCUUUGAUAAAAUGCCAAAGCGAACACCAACUUUCUAUAUACCCAUCCACCUUCAUAAGGAGCAAUUUUGGAGCUUUACAUAGUCAUUAAAUGUAUUUGUAGCAGAUGCUUCAGCUGGUGCAUGUAAUUAUGUUUUGUUUGGUCAUGAAAUGGGUGCUUAACUAUGUAUGCGACCUUACAUUAUACUACCAAAGGAAGAGUGCAAGGAAUCUUCCUAAGUCUGUAUUGCCAAAUUUGAGUACUCAUCUUCUAGAAGUCUUUGUGGAAUCUAAAGUGCUUGUUUGUUGAAGAAAACUUGUAUACCACGUUCAUUGUCAUUUGUGGGAUUAUCUCAUGUUGUUGAUUUAUCUAGGCCGUGGUGUGCUUUCAUUUCAAUAAUGUAAAUAAAUUGCAGUUGACUAUAUGGUUCGAAGCAUUUAGAAUAAAAAUGUUAAGGUAGUGUCCAACUUUUAUAUGUUAAAGUUGGUUUUUAUUUCUGGACUCAGGUGUUUUGAGAUUACCUCUUAUGGGUUUGGAUAUCUCCUCCUGCUAUUUUGAAGAUUGAGGUAUUCCCCUCCCAAUCUCUUUCAGGGCUGCUUGUGGUUGUUUCGAGUUUGGCAUAGUUGUUAGUCUCUUUCAUCUGUUAGGCUUUAGUUGUUAUUCCUUGAUUCUCUAAAUAUCGGGGGAUCUAUUAUUGUUGACAUGCUUCUACUCAUUUAUGAUAUUCAAGUUGUGAAUAGAUGGAUUUCAGACCAGGUUAUUGUAGUUAAUAAAAGAGAGAAGGCCUAACGAUGAAAAAUAUAUAAGUAAGAGGACGUUUCAAAGAUUCUGCUUCAAGUUUUAGUUAUGGAAGAUUUGAUUUUGAAGUUAGAGUAUUUAAAGUCAAAGUUUGCAAUGUUUAGUAUAUCUUUAAUUUUGAGUUUUUAUCCUUUUGUAAUUCAAAGUUUUUACCCUAUGUGUACUAUU
Molecule: non-coding RNA, 2185 nt
Organism: Lactuca sativa (garden lettuce)
Lineage: Eukaryota; Viridiplantae; Streptophyta; Magnoliopsida; Asterales; Asteraceae
Source: RefSeq, a predicted model, not a curated record